This 667-nucleotide long non-coding RNA is filed under the name Androctonus crassicauda. The record is from RNAcentral. Lineage: Eukaryota; Metazoa; Arthropoda; Arachnida; Scorpiones; Buthidae.
GGGGGGGGGGGGGGAGAAACAAAAUAAAAAAAAAAAUAAAAAAAAUUGAAAGAGGGGGAAAAAAGCAAAAUUGCCUCGAACAGUCGUCACGUGAAGUUUGCUUUUCCACAAUACCACAGAAAUGAUGAGAAAAGGGCGUAUGAGUUUCCGGUCAGAAGUCCCCAUUAGAUUGCAGCGAGGCGCGAAACGUUGCAGUCGAGUCGAUAAGGAAGUCCAAUCUUGUUCGCUUUGCUUGUGUCACUUCUAUCUUAUACAACUACGAUACCAUCGACAAAUUAGUGGCAGCCACUACUCGGCCCACUGCUUUCCAAUGUACGCCUGUUAAGGGAGGGGGCUAUGAGGAAUGCGUACGAAUGAGUUGUUUUCGCUGCAGUAGCAAUUACCAUACGCAGCUGAGCGAACCACCGAAACAUUUUACCUGAAUAAAAUUCUGUAUUGCAUUACAAUCAUCGUCCUUUUGUGUAAUAGUAAUAAUAAAAAAAUUUAGAUUUCUGCAAGUUAAGAGUGUUCGAGCUAAACUCAUUCGUAUCAACUACAAACUGAUCGGAGGAAAAAAACGUAACGGAUGUUUAUAUAUGUGAAAAUAUAUAUAUAAAUAUUUUCUGAAAGUGUUAAUCUAAAAAUUAGAAAACACAUUUAAAUGGGAAUUUUGUUAAAUCAAUAAAAG